RNAcentral lists this long non-coding RNA (2933 nucleotides) under Nicotiana tabacum (common tobacco). RNAcentral's name for it is "long non-coding RNA (NTAB_LNC008143)". The record is from RNAcentral. Lineage: Eukaryota; Viridiplantae; Streptophyta; Magnoliopsida; Solanales; Solanaceae.
AACGAUUGUUUUAAGGUUAUUGCAACAAUUAAUGAAAUUUAUGGCAACUGUAUAAUAAAGUAAGAUGAAAUGAUUAUCUAUAUAAUCACCAAAGGAAACUAGUAUUAAUCAACAAAAUUAUAUUCCAAAAUAUCCAACUAUUAUUAUUCACAUAUUAAAAGUAAAAUAUACAAUACUGUUUAACAAUUUAAGAGUUUACGGAAGCUUGAACAAAGUUUCAAAUAAAUAAAAGAUUCAUAGAACAUGCAAGAGUCUAGCACCGAUCAACCAAAUCUUAAGUAUCUUUACUGCAUUUAUCUUCUGCUUGUUUAUUUGAUCAACCUAUAAAAGAUGAUAACUAAAUAUUAGAAAAGGUUGAGCAAAUAUAACUGUGCAAUUAUAGACUCAGAUAACAACUAAAAUGAGCAGUAGAAGAUCCAAAAAUAUGACAUUGAAUUUCUUUACAAGAAAUAUUAUAACAGUACAUGAACGAAGUUCCUGAUAGAUCAAUGAAAAAGAAAAUGUGAUAUAACAAAUAUUAGAAAUUGGGAUAAAAUGUUCAUUAUAUUGUAACUGUUAUAUUUACAAGAGCCAAACCACUCUAUCGCAAUUUUUGAUGGACAUAGAACCACUAUACUCAGAGAAGCUCAAGUACAAUGAGUUAACUAACUUUUUUAUUGUUACUAUCAAUUAACUAUUUGUUUUGUUGUUAUUAUCAGUUAACUAUUAAGCCACUCAUUGACCAAAGUCUUCAGAAUAGUUCUUAAAAUGACCUCAAUCUCCAACUUAAGAAACAACCGAAGUACCAAGUUCUAGCUUAUAAAAAGGGCAUUACACCAGAAAGACUGACCAACUAUGAAGCAUAAAAAUUAAUAGAUCAAAAGAGCUAACAUUUUUGGAUGAUAAAGGUAGGUGAUAAUGGAUAAAAGUUUUGGCACAGGGUACAUAAAGCUCACUAGCUUCUAAAACAUAAUGAAUUUUACAAAUUGUAGAUAGGGAAGAACUGAUUCUUGGUUUUGCACUCACUUGUUUAACUAUCAUUUUUAAUUUAAAGACUUUAAGGUGUUGUUAUACAAGAGAGGGAAAAUGAACUAUCUUUAUUCAUAAAUUGGUAGUUCUCUCGUUGUUUAUUCUAUGCCAACGUCUCAAAAAGACCUCUCCCACCACCCAGCUCUUGGGGUAAUUGAGUAUUUUGACAAUUCUUUUAUUUGUAAGAACAUGAACUUUUACUGAGUAAAAAAUUAAUAUUAAGGUGCAACUGUCAUAAAAGCCCGUCAAAUUAACUUUUGUGAGUGACAGUCUUUUGCCAAGUCUAACUCUUUCAAUUGAUUUUAGCAUGCGACUUCUUAGAAAUAUUUCCCUCAGAUUUUUCCCAUGAAGUCCAAAGAGAUUGUCCUAUGAAAAUGCAGUAUUCCACUACAACUACUCAUGAAGACAUCAUAUGAAUAUAAAUGUGCGUAUAUGGAAAAGAGAUGUUGAAAAGAACACACCAUCACAUAUCAAAGUGGCAGCAAAAAAUAUCAAAGUUCUUACCUUAUCAAAGGAAGAAGAGAACUAGCACCAUUAGCAGCAGUUUUCAAGCAAGAGAAUUUUGUAGCUACAAAAAAAUAAAAAUAGCAUUUACAAUAAUGCAAAAGAAAAUUACAUCUAUCUCUAACCCGAGUUUUGUCAAAUCCUAUUAACUGCAGCAAGGUGAAAAUCUUUCAGAGAAAAUGAAGUUGACUUACUAACAACACAAGUUCAUUAAGGGAUUUGCUUGAAGUGGGAUUUCACAUUACCAUUUCCAUACUUCUCUAUAUCUGAAGUGAAAAUUUUAGUAUUCUUAAAUCCUACCAUACCAAUAGCCUUUUCAUAUAUGUGCGCUUAGGCAAAAUAUUGCCAUACUAAAUAAUAUACAAUCCAAUAGAAGAGAUUAAAAAAUAAAGAAGAACUGUCCAAGUAAGUCAAAUAUGGCAUUAAGUAAUAGUAUAACAGAGAAACUAAUGGAGGAGCCAAAGGAAAAUGUCCCACCACUAUCAUAGAUGACAUAUCCAGCUUAUGACAAUAUGAACAACAUGCCUUAGGUUUUCGUUGAAUAAAGUAUAGUGAACCAUACCUUCAGUUGUAAGAUUAAACUCUUUGAUAGAAACUGCUAAAAAAUCCUCUUUCCAGUGUCUUCCCAGUUGCACUAGCAACAAAUAAUUUCUUCUUUUGACUGAUAUUCACUUCCUCCUUCCCUUCAUUUUCACUUCAUUCUUUCUGUAAUCAAUCAAAUCAGAUACCAAAAUAACAAAGAAAAUCCACAAAUAGCAGUAGUACAUUUUCCCCCUUAGCAUAUCUUGAAAUAGGACUAAAUAAAACUUAAGAGAAAAAAUAUAUAGCAGCCCAAUUUUGUCUUCGGCAGAUCUAAUAAUUAAAAUCCACCAACUCAACUUUAAUUUCUCAAACUAGAAACCCUACCAAAUUAAACUCCCUUUUUGCAAAUUAGAAAUCAUAAUCACAAAAUGUAUCGGCAUAAUACAAAGAAAAAGAGAAACAGAAACACGAAAUUUCUAAACAAGAAUAACAGAUUUAUGAGAAAAAAGUUACCUCCUGUUCAAACUCCAAAAUCCUCAAGCUCAGUCAUAGAUGAGAGAAAGCAAGAACAACGAAUAGAAGGAGAUGGUGGAGGGGAAACCUAUGCCAGAGGGGAAGUCUACGUCGUAGGUCGCCUUGCCUUCGCCGCAGGGAUAGUGUCGACACAGUCGAUGCUGGCUGUGUGAGAAGUGUUUUAGGGCAAGGGGUUUUAGCCUUUUAGGUGAUUUAAGACUUAGAAAAAACAAAAAUGCUAUUUAAAAAAUAAGUCGUGGCCGUGUAUUUUAUUGAUUACCCUUUUUAGUUUUGGGGGGGGGGGGGGGGAUAAGAACCGUCUCGAUAGCCCUUUUUUCGCGUAACCGUUGCAACAAGGUCACCUACUGCCACGGUUUCCAAAACCG